CAAUCAAUCAAUCAAUCAAUCAAUAAACAAACAGGCUGUGGGUGUUGUAUUCUUUACAUUCACAAUAAUUGUUUCGUUUAUUAUUACUUUAGUUAGUUAAUAGUUAGAGUUCUCAAUAGAAAUAGUGGCUGCUGCUGCUGCAGUCAUUUAUUUAUUUCUUUAUUUAUUUGUUAUGUGUGUACGAUGCUGGGAUCCCGUGCUAAACAAACACACAAAAAAAACAAUAAACAAUAAACAAUAAACAAUGAGUAAAUCCUAAUUAUGAACAUGACUUUAUGGCAGCUUUAUUGCCACCAUCAACCAUCAAACUCUCUCCGGAUGCCACUUGUGGGGAUGCAACAGACAAAAGCUACUACAAGCAACCACAACAAAAAGUUUCAGGACUUGUUUCAUAUGAUGUGGGAGGGAGUGGGAACUGCAAAAGAUACAAUUACAAUUACAAUUACAAUUACAAUUUCCAAGGUACGCCACGACAUAACAUUUCUCUUCACGUUUAGACUUUAAAUUACAUUUUACGCUCUUCGAUGUUUCCAUCAUUUUUGUGUACAAAAAAAACAAUUUGGUUUCACGCUUGCAUUAGCCGAGAUUUAGCUUUAGAUUAUGUGCUAUAUAUAUAUAUAUAUAUGCAUAUAUAUAUAUAUGUAUAUAGGUGUAUAAGUAGAUAUAUCGUAUCGUGUAUAAAUAAUUACAAAAAAAUCUCUUUACGAUGUACGAACAAAAAAUACUUGCGCUCAAUUUUAGACAUGAAACAAAACCUUUACAUCGAG
Molecule: long non-coding RNA, 767 nt
Filed under: Drosophila guanche
Lineage: Eukaryota; Metazoa; Arthropoda; Insecta; Diptera; Drosophilidae
Source: RNAcentral